AAUAGUAUCAAUAGGAAUAAUAAUAAAUGAAUAAUUAGUACCAAUAAUAAGAUCAUUAACAGUAAAUGAUGUAGUAUCAUUCACAGACUCCUGUUCAAAGUCUGUCCCAUUACUGUAUACUGUGAUAUUGUGCUGGUAUAUACUGCAAUUGUAAUCCUGUGUGUUCAAUGACCAACUGAUUGUCAGUGCACUGUUGUUAACAGGACUAAAAGUGAUAUUAACAACUGACACUGAUACUGGUGGACCUAUUCAUAUAGUAUUAUUAGCUAUAAUUUUAAAAUAAAAUUAGCAAUUACCUGUCAUUUUGAUAGUAAAUGUAACGAAACUAUUACUUACAAUUUGAUUCGAACAACUAGCCAUAGUUCCAUUCAUUGAUACAUUUACUGAUGGUAUUGUACCAGUACUUGUCACUGUAGUACCAAUAAUAUCAGUAACAUUUAGUAUAAGGACACGAUUAAUAAUUACAGCAGAUACAGCAUUUUGCAGUUUUCUUAUAGUAUCUAGCAUCAUAGCUCUAUAUUGCCAGACAUAGUGGAGUAUAAGAUGGAGAGGUUUGAACCAACUCUGUUGCAGAUGAUAAUAGAAUAAGAUCAACCAAUACAAGACACCAGUAGAUACCAGUGGUAGCCAUUAGUAAGAGGAAUGAGAACUGAACAGUUUAUACUAUUAGAAUGUAAACUGCUUAUGUCGUUAUUCUACACUCAUUGCCACACCUUAACUUGAUAUACAUAACAUUCAUUGAUAGUAUGUAUUAUAUAUGAAUGAGAAGACAUGGAGUAAGUGCUGGUAUUAUGAGACAGUUUGUUAAGUGUCUCAUAACUACUCUAAGCAAUAGAUAAAAAUAAACAUAAUGAAUAAACAUAACAAUGUAUGAUAUUAACAACAUCAUGAGCACAUCUUGGUACAGUUCUCUCUGUUUAUGUUUGAGUGUGUCUGUUAUUGUUACUGCAUGUAAUUAUCUAUUGUUAUUGUUUUAUGAUAGGCUGCUCUUCCCCAGUCUCUCCUGUUCUUCCUGUUAUUGUUGUUGAUGUUCAGUUCAGUACACAUUCAUUACAUUAUGAUAAACAAUGGAUUGUUUAUUGAGACUAAUUGACAAUAACAA
Amphimedon queenslandica is the source of this 1102-nucleotide long non-coding RNA. RefSeq lists it as uncharacterized. The transcript is spliced from 2 exons. Lineage: Eukaryota; Metazoa; Porifera; Demospongiae; Haplosclerida; Niphatidae. The record is from RefSeq and is a predicted model, not a curated record.